RNAcentral lists this ribosomal RNA (499 nucleotides) under uncultured bacterium. Its description in RNAcentral is "partial 16S ribosomal RNA". It matches the Rfam family "Bacterial small subunit ribosomal RNA", at positions 28 to 523 of the family's 1533-position model. The record is from RNAcentral.
GAUGAACGCUAGCGGCAGGCCCAAUACAUGCAAGACGAACGGUAACUUUUGUAGCAAUACGGGGGCUAGAGUGUCGUAAGGGUGCGGAACGGGUAUGCAAUCUGCCCUCAACAGGUGGAUAGCGCCCCGAAAGGGGAAUUAAAAAUCCGGAAUAUCAAGAUACGGCAUCGUCAUGGUAUUAGAACCACGGUGGGUGAGGAUGAGCAUGCUUCAGAUUAGUUAGUUGGCGGGGUAACGGCCCACCAAAGCGAUGAUCCGUAGGGGAACUGACAGGUUGAUCCCCCACACUGGCACUGAGAUACGGGCCAGACUCCUACGGAAGGCAGCAGUAGGGAAUUUUGGACAAUGGGUGCGAGCCUGAUCCAGCCAUGCCGCGUGCAGGAAGACGGCCUUCUGGGUUGUAACCUGCUUUUGCCAGGGGAUAAAAAGCCCUUGCUAGGGAAAUUGAAGGUACCUGGUGAAUAAGCCACGGCUAACUACGUGCCAGCCGCCGCCGUAA